RNAcentral lists this ribosomal RNA (193 nucleotides) under uncultured Clostridium sp. RNAcentral's name for it is "partial 16S ribosomal RNA". It matches the Rfam family "Bacterial small subunit ribosomal RNA", at positions 338 to 524 of the family's 1533-position model. Lineage: Bacteria; Bacillati; Bacillota; Clostridia; Eubacteriales; Clostridiaceae. The record is from RNAcentral.
CCUACGGGAGGCAGCAGUGGGGAAUCUUGGUCAAUGGGCGCAAGCCUGAACCAGCGACGCCGCGUGAGUGAUGAAGGCCUUCGGGUUGUAAAGCUCUGUGGGGAGGGACGAAAGACUGAGGUCUAAUAGGCUUCAGGUUGACGGUACCUCCUUAGCAAGCACCGGCUAACUCUGUGCCAGCAGCCGCGGUAAU